UUUUAUGGAGAGUUUGAUCCUGGCUCAGGAUGAACGCUGGCGGCGUGCCUAAUACAUGCAAGUCGAGCGAACGGACGAGAAGCUUGCUUCUCUGAUGUUAGCGGCGGACGGGUGAGUAACACGUGGAUAACCUACCUAUAAGACUGGGAUAACUUCGGGAAACCGGAGCUAAUACCGGAUAAUAUUUUGAACCGCAUGGUUCAAAAGUGAAAGACGGUCUUGCUGUCACUUAUAGAUGGAUCCGCGCUGCAUUAGCUAGUUGGUAAGGUAACGGCUUACCAAGGCAACGAUGCAUAGCCGACCUGAGAGGGUGAUCGGCCACACUGGAACUGAGACACGGUCCAGACUCCUACGGGAGGCAGCAGUAGGGAAUCUUCCGCAAUGGGCGAAAGCCUGACGGAGCAACGCCGCGUGAGUGAUGAAGGUCUUCGGAUCGUAAAACUCUGUUAUUAGGGAAGAACAUAUGUGUAAGUAACUGUGCACAUCUUGACGGUACCUAAUCAGAAAGCCACGGCUAACUACGUGCCAGCAGCCGCGGUAAUACGUAGGUGGCAAGCGUUAUCCGGAAUUAUUGGGCGUAAAGCGCGCGUAGGCGGUUUUUUAAGUCUGAUGUGAAAGCCCACGGCUCAACCGUGGAGGGUCAUUGGAAACUGGAAAACUUGAGUGCAGAAGAGGAAAGUGGAAUUCCAUGUGUAGCGGUGAAAUGCGCAGAGAUAUGGAGGAACACCAGUGGCGAAGGCGACUUUCUGGUCUGUAACUGACGCUGAUGUGCGAAAGCGUGGGGAUCAAACAGGAUUAGAUACCCUGGUAGUCCACGCCGUAAACGAUGAGUGCUAAGUGUUAGGGGGUUUCCGCCCCUUAGUGCUGCAGCUAACGCAUUAAGCACUCCGCCUGGGGAGUACGACCGCAAGGUUGAAACUCAAAGGAAUUGACGGGGACCCGCACAAGCGGUGGAGCAUGUGGUUUAAUUCGAAGCAACGCGAAGAACCUUACCAAAUCUUGACAU
This 1006-nucleotide ribosomal RNA is filed under the name Staphylococcus aureus subsp. aureus IS-160. RNAcentral describes it as "bacterial SSU rRNA". It matches the Rfam family "Bacterial small subunit ribosomal RNA", at positions 1 to 987 of the family's 1533-position model. Lineage: Bacteria; Bacillati; Bacillota; Bacilli; Caryophanales; Staphylococcaceae. The record is from RNAcentral.